AAAAAAUUCCCUGUCAGGCAGUGCAUGAGUGUGUAGUAGCCACUUGCUGGCUAAUUAACUGUGACAUCACUUGAACAACUUGGUUAAUACGUUCAGUGUUGCUAAAAGUACUUGUCAGCUACAGAGCCACAAACCCUUUCCUUUUUUUGUACACAUAACAGCCUAACAGUAGCAAGCAGGAUUCAGAAGAGAAGCAUCAUCAACUUUGUGAUUACCUGCUACCCUCAAUUAGGAUCAGAUAUAUGCUGAAGCAUGGUAAGAGAGUUGAACCUCCACAAGUAAUUCUGAAAUACAGGUUACAGACCUUGAAGUGCCAGCAGGAAGGGGCUGAGCCUUUGCCAGAACAGAGAGAAGAGUGAGGCUCAAUUCCAUGCUUGCCUCCUGUCAGCCUGCACCCCUUCGCUCACAGGAGUAGCUCCUGAGAGGAGAAUAGUACCUGAUCUAUCCCAUAGAAAAGAACCAUCUGACAGAAAUGUGUUGCAUCUUCCACCUGCUUUCUGCUGCUCUUAUGAAACAGAUGUAUGCACCACAAUAACGAUUUAAAAGAUCAAAUAAUGGGGUUUAAACUAAAAAGUUCUAACUUCUUGAAUAACACAAACCAAAAUUGAUGCUAGCUGUUACAUGUAUGACAGCAGGACAGCUCAAGCGUGGGAGGACCAGGGUGGUUCAGCAGCCACACAUCUAUUACUUUGACCUUUGAGUCCCUUUUAAGAUCCCACAUUUGUCCGACUCCGAAGCGUAAGAAAUGACUCAGUCUUUCUCUUCCUGAUGGUGAUGACAUGGUGCAUCCUGCAGAAUUAAACUGCACCCAGUGCUGGUCAGUGCACCGUGAAAAGGAUUUGCAGAGAUCUAAACUUCAAUCCAAAGUGAUUAUUUAAGCAUAAAACACUAUAGAUGAAGGUUUAUAUUAGCAUAAUACAAACUUGCACGUACGACAUGCAAAAAAACUGAAGGCAAAGUCAGACAAAAGAAGUUUUGCAAGUGCCUGUUUUUUGAGCCUGCAGGCCUUUCAGUCUUUAACUGACUGUUCUGCCCAAAAAUGCCUCCAUGAGGGAUUCCUGUCUUGUGUAACAGAAGAGGGAAAGAGGUGGAGGAGCUGCUGGGUGGGGGCCCCACACGGAACACACCUCCACAGCAGCUCCUCUCAGCCCAGGCGUGUUGUCUCUUGUGCAGUGACUGCUGGCUGGAAAGGGAGGGGAUCUGUUUCAUUUUAAAAAAUUCUUUAAAAAUAAGUGAAGCUGCUGUUUCAGAAUUCAUGAGCAGAAAGAGCGAUCUUAGCCUCCCUACAAAUACCUUAUGCGGAUGGAAUUAUUUCUGUUUCUUAUUUCAAAACACUAUCGCCCUCGUGCUCAAACAAAACACCGAAAUGAAGAAGCAUCCAGGCAGGAGUUCAGCUCCCAGGGUACACCCCACUGCCCCCACAUCUUACUGUACUCCCCCAGCAUUAAUUCAUUUGUGCAGGAGAUUUCUGUUUCCUGCUAAUAACUAUUUCAGUCCCAGUUUUAAUAGAAGGGCUGGGGGAGUAGAAGCAGAAGAAGACAGGGACCGAGAGUUACUCAUCGCAUGUUUAUGAGGCAGUAUCCUAGCUGCACAAAUCAAAGAAAAUGGGAAAUAUAAAAAUAAAAUGUAAUACAAUUACUGACUGUUCACAUUCCUAGGUAUUCCACAGGCAAAAUAAAUGGAUCUGAAAGCCAGCUUCUUGCUGUGUUGUACCACUAAUUCUAUAAACACUGCCUUAAACUCCUCUUACUUAAUGUGGAAAGCAUUAAAACUUAAAGCAGGUUAGUUCAAAUGAGAGCCAAAACAAUCUUGUAGAGAAGUACAGCUAUGUGGUCUCAUACUGAUAGAGCAGAAGCACCGCUUCAAGGGGCUUUCUUCAUAAUAAAGGGGGAAGAACUGUGUGAGCUGUACUUGGAAAUCACAGCCAUAAACAUUUCAAUCAUAAACACUGCUAAUUGCCAUUUGUUUCCCUAAGAAGAAACACGUGGCCAAUACCCGUGCAGUAUAUACACUACUGACAGCUAUGUGCGCUGACUUUUAAUUCUGGCUUUCCACACAUUUCUUCCGCCACUUCUGUUACUUAACCACUGACUGCAACUCCCUUCAGGAAUUAGACAACUGCCAACACUUCCUUUGGAUUUCAGCGUCACUCUUUCCACUCAAUGGGAAAAUACAGUUUCAGCAAAACUGGCCAUUAAAAGCCUGCAAACUUCUCCAGCUUUUCAGCUCCAUGUAAUUCAAUCAAAGUCACACUGUUAAGAAGACAGUAACGUGAAGCCUGUGAACACUGGCAGGCGUGCACAGUAUCACAUCCCCUGUGCUCACAGUUUUUUGUAAUGCAAUGAGAAGCCAGUGGCUGCAGAUCAGCUGUUCCAACAGCUGUACAAAGUUUAAUUCAUAUACAACUGGGACCCAACAAUAUUUUAUCCUUAGUAAAACAUAGCAGAUUUUAGACUUAUCGAUAAGAUAGUUAAUGUAGAAUGAAUACAGUUUUUUCAGCCGUGUCCUCAAUUUGCUGUCAAACAAAUUCUGGCACAAAAGCUUUUUAAGAUACUGGUUUCCAGCAUCUCCUUUCCAAGGGAGGCGGUAUUUCUGAUUAGCAGAUCACCCACCCGUGCACACCUGUGACGCGCAUGCACUGUUACUGUUAUUACUGUUAACUCUUUCCUUACUGGCACCGCUUGGGUUCCUUUUCUGGGAUUUGGUAAUUGGUGGUGCAUUUCAAGGCAGGCACUGGGAACGGCAGCAUUUCAUGUAAUCACCCGCUCUAGCAAGACCCCAAUUCCUACUUUUUGUGUUUGUAACUCAGAAGAAUGACAGCGUUUUCUUGGUAAGAUGCAGAGCGGUGAAGGGGUCAGGUAAGGACUUCACGUUCGGUUACUGUGGGCGUUUUGCAGCUGGCUGCACAGCGCUGCACGGCGAUCCAGGCUGCCCCGACACUGGGACCCAGAGUCCCUUCAGAACACACUGACCAGACAGCGGCGUGUACGGAAGCAGCUUUCCGCAUAUUCCCAUCUUGCAGGAGAUGCACGCUUUCACUUACACAACGUUGUCAGAGGUUACCAUGCUUAUCGAAAACGAAGUGAACACAAGGUUGCGUUGCCUCAUCAUACUGCUGAGAGAUGCUUUGGUGAAACUCCAUUCCUUUGUUGCAGCUGGCUUGGAUUCCGUGUCUGAGAAGGUCUGACACAGCAAGCACGCAAGAUGUCGCAGAACAGCUUCCUUUUUGAAGAUGCACAGUCAGGAAGCAAUAUGAUUUCUGCUACAAAGACUGGGGCUUUAUCCUGGAAGGAGGAGAACUCUUCAGCAACCACUGGGAAGAACAGUGAGGAGAGCCAGAGAGGACAUCAAAAGACAAACAAAGCCAGCUAUCCAUGCACAGAUGGGUUCUGUUCCUGUAACACCCCCAGCACAAGUACUUCACCUUUUCUCAGAGAACACCUGCAUGCUCAGGUUAACAUCACUGGUUCUUCACCAGGCCUUUGGUACUUCUGCGUUCGCCCUCUGAUCUGUUAUCUUACAGGUUGUAUCACUUCUGGCUACAUUCUAACAGAUCCAUGCAAGCUUUCCAAACCCACUUGUCCGUGAUUGCUCUUCUAGACCUAACAAAAAAUGCUCCAAGUCUGCAGCAGCGUCUCUUCCUAUUCUGAAUGACAGCACUUUUACAACUGCAGCAAGAGUUGCGAGACCUCACUGCUGCUUCUGUUUCUCAGCCUACGACAAGAACGAUAUAUUUCACGUCUUUUAAGGGACUACACAACUGCCCGCACGUUUUUGCGGACAGAGAACUUACCAGCCC
Numida meleagris (helmeted guineafowl) is the source of this 3799-nucleotide long non-coding RNA. RefSeq lists it as uncharacterized. The transcript has 4 exons. Lineage: Eukaryota; Metazoa; Chordata; Aves; Galliformes; Numididae. The record is from RefSeq and is a predicted model, not a curated record.